AAGUCUCGUCGUUGUCUUCAAUAUGAAAUGAAAUUACACGUAAUUAGAAACAAUCUUCUUCCUGUAUUUUAGAUUAUUACAGAAACCAAUUUUCAGAGAUCGUGACUCGUGACGGAGAGGGAGAGAGAGAGAACGUUAAGAUGUGAAUUGUGACGUGAAAGAUACUGGUUGAAAUAUAUUGAAGAAAAGCAUCCAUAAACCCCA
This is a long non-coding RNA of Arabidopsis thaliana (thale cress), 204 nucleotides long. RefSeq annotates it as other RNA. The transcript has a single exon. NCBI's taxonomy places the organism in Eukaryota, Viridiplantae, Streptophyta, Magnoliopsida, Brassicales, Brassicaceae. The record is from RefSeq.